CCUACGGGAGGCAGCAGUGAGGAAUAUUGGUCAAUGGGCGCGAGCCUGAACCAGCCAAGUAGCGUGAAGGAUGACUGCCCUACGGGUUGUAAACUUCUUUUAUAAAGGAAUAAAGUGAGGCACGUGUGCCUCUUUGUAUGUACUUUAUGAAUAAGGAUCGGCUAACUCCGUGCCAGCAGCCGCGGUAAUACGGAGGAUCCGAGCGUUUUCCGGAUUUAUUGGGGUUAAAGGGAGCGUAGAUGGGUUUUUAAGUCAGUUGUGAAAGUUUGCGGCUCAACCGUAAAAUUGCAAUUGAUACUGGAGGUCUUGAGUACAGUUGAGGUAGGCGGAAUUCGUGGUGUAGCGGUGAAAUGCUUAGAUAUCACGAAGAACUCCGAUUGCGAAGGCAGGUUACCGAAAUGCCACUGACAUUGAUGCUCGAAAGUGUGGGUAUCAAACAGGAUUAGAUACCCGAGUAGUC
Molecule: ribosomal RNA, 460 nt
Filed under: uncultured bacterium
Lineage: Bacteria
Description: partial 16S ribosomal RNA
Rfam family: Bacterial small subunit ribosomal RNA
Source: RNAcentral